This 19-nucleotide small RNA is filed under the name Arabidopsis thaliana (thale cress). Its description in RNAcentral is "Ath_wt_12433". Lineage: Eukaryota; Viridiplantae; Streptophyta; Magnoliopsida; Brassicales; Brassicaceae. The record is from RNAcentral.
CGCUGCCGUGAUCGUGGUC